RNAcentral lists this ribosomal RNA (850 nucleotides) under uncultured bacterium. Its description in RNAcentral is "bacterial SSU rRNA". It matches the Rfam family "Bacterial small subunit ribosomal RNA", at positions 39 to 879 of the family's 1533-position model. The record is from RNAcentral. RNAcentral also lists the same sequence under 1 other name.
GCUACAGGCUUAACACAUGCAAGUCGAGGGGAAACGACAUCGAAAGCUUGCUUUUGAUGGGCGUCGACCGGCGCACGGGUGAGUAACGCGUAUCCAACCUGCCCACCACUUGGGGAUAACCUUGCGAAAGUAAGACUAAUACCCAAUGAUAUCUCUAGAAGACAUCUGAAAGAGGUUAAUGAUUUAUCGGUGAUGGAUGGGGAUGCGUCUGAUUAGCUUGUUGGCGGGGUAACGGCCCACCAAGGCGACGAUCAGUAGGGGUUCUGAGAGGAAGGUCCCCCACAUUGGAACUGAGACACGGUCCAAACUCCUACGGGAGGCAGCAGUGAGGAAUAUUGGUCAAUGGGCGAGAGCCUGAACCAGCCAAGUAGCGUGCAGGAUGACGGCCCUAUGGGUUGUAAACUGCUUUUAUAAGGGAAUAAAGUGAGUCUCGUGAGACUUUUUGCAUGUACCUUAUGAAUAAGGACCGGCUAAUUCCGUGCCAGCAGCCGCGGUAAUACGGAAGGUCCGGGCGUUAUCCGGAUUUAUUGGGUUUAAAGGGAGCGUAGGCCGGAGAUUAAGCGUGUUGUGAAAUGUAGACGCUCAACGUCUGCACUGCAGCGCGAACUGGUUUCCUUGAGUACGCACAAAGUGGGCGGAAUUCGUGGUGUAGCGGUGAAAUGCUUAGAUAUCACGAAGAACUCCGAUUGCGAAGGCAGCUCACUGGAGCGCAACUGACGCUGAAGCUCGAAAGUGCGGGUAUCGAACAGGAUUAGAUACCCUGGUAGUCCGCACGGUAAACGAUGGAUGCCCGCUGUUGGUCUGAAUAGGUCAGCGGCCAAGCGAAAGCAAUAAGCAUCCCACUCGGGGA